Nicotiana tabacum (common tobacco) is the source of this 186-nucleotide non-coding RNA. NCBI's taxonomy places the organism in Eukaryota, Viridiplantae, Streptophyta, Magnoliopsida, Solanales, Solanaceae. The record is from RefSeq and is a predicted model, not a curated record.
UAAGGCUCAUAUACCAUUGCCACACUUUCCCUUCUCUUCCACCAUCGCCGGCCACCGUCUUGAGAUUGGCAUUGUUCAAUCUAUUGUUCGUGAGGCCUAUUUCAAUUUUCACUCCUUCUAAAAAUGGAUGCUAACAUUCCUGACAUUCCUAACACUGGAAAAGAUAGAUUCGGAUUUGCAAAGGUG